This 201-nucleotide long non-coding RNA is filed under the name Ananas comosus (pineapple). Its description in RNAcentral is "long non-coding RNA (ACOM_LNC015231)". The record is from RNAcentral. Lineage: Eukaryota; Viridiplantae; Streptophyta; Magnoliopsida; Poales; Bromeliaceae.
GUGUAUUGAAUUUCAAUAUACUUUCCCGAACUUUAGCCAAAUUAGGCAAAGUAUGGAUAAAAUGGUGUUUGAGACUAUUUGAGGGAGUUUAGAUGGACCCUAGAUUAAUUAUAAAUGAGCUGGAGUGAGAUUAGAGUGGAAGCAAGGUUUUCUGGAACAAAAGAUGAAGGAAAAAAAUUUUACAAAAUUCUCGGGGUCCGA